GGUCAGUGAUGAGCAGUAAAAGGUCUGAUUACCCACAAUCCUCCCCCGGCCGCCCUCUGGCUCCCAGCAGCCCCUGUUCUGUGCUCCCAGCAUCCUCCAGUAAAGCGAUGUUGGUCCCAGAGCAGCUGCUGACAAGAAACAGGAUGUGACAUCAUAGCGUGGGCCUGUACCGAGUUCCUACUGGCUCACAGUGAUGACAUCACAUCCGACAUGACCAAUCAGCACGGAGCGUCAGGGUCAGGUGGUGGGAGGGUAGGGCGCUGAUCUCAAGUUUUCAACCUGAGGCC
Sphaeramia orbicularis (orbiculate cardinalfish) is the source of this 287-nucleotide non-coding RNA. Ensembl annotates it as small Cajal body-specific RNA 6. The record is from Ensembl. NCBI's taxonomy places the organism in Eukaryota, Metazoa, Chordata, Actinopteri, Kurtiformes, Apogonidae.